AUUGCAAUUGAUGUUCAAUCUCGAAGAGAAGGAAGAGAUCUUUGAAAAGUAGUUUUUUAUGAUCCGAUAAAGAAUCAAACAUGCUUAAAUGUUCCAGCUAUUCUCUAUUUCCGUGAAAAGGGUGCUCAACCUACAAGAUUUGUUUAGGAUAUUUUAAGAAAGGCAGAAUUCUUUAAAUAAAAGAGAAAGAACUUUGAGUUAAUUGAAGAACUAAAUGAAUAA
RNAcentral lists this ribosomal RNA (222 nucleotides) under Triticum aestivum (bread wheat). RNAcentral's name for it is "partial small subunit ribosomal RNA". The record is from RNAcentral. Lineage: Eukaryota; Viridiplantae; Streptophyta; Magnoliopsida; Poales; Poaceae.